UUUCGCAAAUUUGUAAAUUUUGUUCAGUUUCUUAAUAAACUUUUUGAUCCACAAUUUAAGAAAAGCUCAUGUGUAUUUCGGUUCAUCCGGUGGUAAAUAUUAUUUUAUUUUAAUCAUAUUUAUUUACAGAUAUAACUUACAUUAAAGAAAUUAAGCUUAAAAUCAGCCAUCACCCACCUUUAAAGUAAUUAAAUUAUACUGUAGUUCUCGAGUAUAGGCUUUUUCUUUGUCCCACUCCUUCUAAAUUAAAGCCUAUAGAGGUUUAAGCAACAUUUUUCGAAAUGUUGUGCCUACAAGUACGUGCGGCUUGCCCACAAACGUGUGGAGGGCUCCUCAUAUUUUUAUUUUUAUACCCAAAUUAAAUUGUUCCAAUUAGAUGGAAAUGAGGAAAACCUAGCGUAGCUCUGUUGAAUCUUCAACGUUAGAGGGCAAAAGCGCUAUAUAUCACGUAUCACGUAAAAUUAUAUUUUUGUAGAAAAUUCUAAAAUUAAUAUCGGCGCUUGGAAUCGGAAUCUUUCUCGCAUCCUUACAUUUAUAGGGUAGACAUAAAUAAAGCCAAGAAAAUUCUAAAAUUAAAUACAGUACCUCAAGGCAAAGAAAAUUCUAAAAUUAAAACAAAACCAAGCUAAUAUUAAAUAUAAAUACAGUACCUCAAGGCAAAGCAUUUGAACACAUGGAUAAAAUUAGGAAUAUUUAUAUUUUCUAAGAAAUAGAACAUUAGAAGAACUAUAAUUAUGAAUUUUUUAAAUAAUGAUACCUACAUAUAGAAAAUCAGUUAUUAUAAAAAUAAAAUAUAUUUUACCUGUAUUUCUCGGGAGAGGUUACACAGUAAAUAACCUAUUUACUGAAACAGCAGUAUGCAACGAUAUUUGCAAAUAUUUGAGUGGAAGAAGAGGAAUCACGACAUUAGUGCCUCCUUUGAUAAAUCCUUGACAAGAAGUUGGAGACAGUGAUGUGGGGAAUUCUGGGAACUUGUUGGAGGAAAGUCAAAUGUUCAAUCCUCCACAAGAAGUUGAAGACAGUGAUGUGGGGAUAAUUUGUACUUUAAGUUUAUUCAUAAUUGCAUAAUGCUCUUCUUUAGAUUUAUCAGGAUGGUGGUGAAUAUGUUUCAAUAUAUUUUUAUUAUUAAUUGUAAAAAAUGCUAACAUAUAAAAAUUGAAUUUAUUAUUCUUUGGGAAAGUAAAAUUAUAUUGGAAGUUCUAUAUUUAUAUUGAGAAUGAAUGGUGUUAUAUUUGUGAGGAAAAGAUUGGUGAA
Long non-coding RNA from Gordionus sp. m RMFG-2023, 1254 nucleotides. RefSeq lists it as uncharacterized. Lineage: Eukaryota; Metazoa; Nematomorpha; Gordioida; Chordodea; Parachordodidae. The record is from RefSeq and is a predicted model, not a curated record. The transcript is spliced from 7 exons.